This 205-nucleotide long non-coding RNA is filed under the name Elaeis guineensis (African oil palm). RNAcentral's name for it is "long non-coding RNA (EGUI_LNC004872)". The record is from RNAcentral. Lineage: Eukaryota; Viridiplantae; Streptophyta; Magnoliopsida; Arecales; Arecaceae.
CUCAUUCUCCACUACCGAGUUUCAAUACAUAUCGAGUUUUGAUAAUGAAGCAUCGCAGAUUAAUUGGAUCUCGUGUUCCAUGGCCCGCUUUGGUGGCAACCCUUGGACUUCCUGAAAUAGGUCCUGGUGCUCGCCAAUCAGUUUGGCAAGAUUGCCAGUCUUUUCUCGAUAUGCAAAGAAAAAACUCAAUAUCUUUCUACUUACC